AUGUCGUCACGGCCAAUGUGGCGGAUGGUCCGGGCUUCCUGGAUGAGCAGGAGGCCCUGCUGCUGUCCUACGGGAGCGCCCGUGAUAUCCGCCGCGAGUGAUGGCAGAUGUGCGUCCUACAGGCGGAGAAAGACGCCCUGUUCGCGGACAUCGACGCGACGAAGGAGGAAAGGGAGGAGGACGAGACCAAGGAUGUUGACAACAUCGUGUCGGCCGCGCCGCCUCGACGAUGAGCCUGGACGUCCAUGUCCACCACCGUCGAAAGCGAGGAAAAGUAGAACAUGGGAGGCCGCCGACGCUUGGGUCCCAGAAAGGCCACCACCGACGUCUUGUCGGGCCUCACAACCGUUGAGCUAG
Molecule: ribosomal RNA, 357 nt
Filed under: Triticum aestivum (bread wheat)
Lineage: Eukaryota; Viridiplantae; Streptophyta; Magnoliopsida; Poales; Poaceae
Description: partial small subunit ribosomal RNA
Source: RNAcentral